GCCAUGCCGCGUGCAGGAAGACUGCCCUAUGGGUUGUAAACUGCUUUUAUACAGGAAGAAACACACCUACGUGUAGGUGCUUGACGGUACUGUAAGAAUAAGCACCGGCUAACUCCGUGCCAGCAGCCGCGGUAAU
Molecule: ribosomal RNA, 136 nt
Filed under: uncultured bacterium
Lineage: Bacteria
Description: partial 16S ribosomal RNA
Rfam family: Bacterial small subunit ribosomal RNA
Source: RNAcentral